RNAcentral lists this ribosomal RNA (866 nucleotides) under uncultured Neocallimastigales. Its description in RNAcentral is "partial large subunit ribosomal RNA". It matches the Rfam family "Eukaryotic large subunit ribosomal RNA", at positions 1 to 614 of the family's 3401-position model. Lineage: Eukaryota; Fungi; Neocallimastigomycota; Neocallimastigomycetes; Neocallimastigales. The record is from RNAcentral.
GUACACGCUGUGACUAGCAUAUCAAUAAGCGGAGGAAAAGCAUAACAUGUAUACCUACGCUUAGGAUGUUGACACACGCGCGUGCUCGACUCUAUACAUGACUCUGUGCAUAUCAAUAAGCGGAGGAAAAGAAACUAACAAGGAUUCCCUUAGUAACGGCGAGUGAAGCGGGAAGAGCUCAAAUUUGAAAUCUUCAAGGUUUUACCUUGACGAAUUGUAGUUUAAAGAAGUGUUUUCUGCUGAAGUUUUGGUAAAAGUUCUUUGGAAUAGGACAUCAUAGAGGGUGAGAAUCCCGUAUUUGACCAUUAUUUUCAGCUUUGUGAUACACUUUCAAAGAGUCGGAUUGUUUGGGAAUGCAGUCCAAAAUGGGUGGUAAAUUUCAUCUAAAGCUAAAUAUUGGCGAGAGACCGAUAGCGAACAAGUACCGUGAGGGAAAGAUGAAAAGAACUUUGAAAAGAGAGUUAAACUAGUACGUGAAAUUGUCAAAAGGGAAGCGUUUAACACCAGUGUUGUUUUCUCGAAAAUCAAUUAAAAAUGGCUCGAUUUUGUAUUGCUGAGACCUUAAAAGCUCACUGUACAUUUUUCGUGUCUUUUUUAAUGCACUUUUCGUUUAACAAGUCAACAUCAGUUUCUUUUGUUGUAAAAGGGUCAUUGGAAGGUGGCUUUCUUUUCGGAGAAAGUGUUUAUAGCCUUUGGCCUCUGCAAUCGAAGAGACUGAGGUCUGCAGCGUAGACUCUUCGGGGUUAGAUACAUUUGUGCUAAGUUAUAGCUUUUUAUAGACAACUUGUUGACUAUAAUUAGUCUUGUAGCUUACUCGCUUAUGCUAUUUUACCUACGCUUAGGAUGUUGAGUAGCGACAUACGCAC